Molecule: long non-coding RNA, 1500 nt
Filed under: Sus scrofa (pig)
Lineage: Eukaryota; Metazoa; Chordata; Mammalia; Artiodactyla; Suidae
Description: lncRNA (ENSSSCG00050075811.1)
Source: RNAcentral
CGAUCCCUGGCCUUGCUCAGUGGGUUAAGGAUCCGGCAUUGCCGUGAGCUGUGGUGUAGGUCGCAGACUCGGCUUGGAUCCCGUGUUGCUGUGGCUGUGGUGUAGGCCGGUGGCUACAGCUCUGAUUCGACCCCUAGCCUGGGAACCUCCAUAUGCCAUGGGAAGCAGCCCUAGAAAAGGCAAAAAGACAAAAAAAAAAAAAAACAAACAAAAAACAAACAAACAAAAAAAAACUGCAUUACCACAUAUUAUAUGACUGCAGAUAUGACGCCCAAUGAUGGUGUAAUAGAAUGAAUGAAAAUCAUGAAAAUCAAAAUCAACUUUUAUUGAGCAUCUAUAUAAGCCAGACUUGUGCUGUCUGCCAUCAUUUGGCACAGUGAGAUGAUUUCAGAGGGGAACCGAGUUCCACAGCAUGUCUAGUAUUGCUGGAAAGGGAGCGGGAAACUGCAUUUCACUUAUAUGCUAAGAAGAGAACACCUAAAAGAGAAUAGAUGACUUAAAUGCAAUUCUCCCUGGAGGGAAGAGAUGGACUAGAAAUACUCUCUAGUAUGCAUAGUUUAAAAAUUCUUGAAUUAGGAGUUCCUAUCAUGGCUCAGUGGAAAGAAAUCUGACUAGCAUCCAUGAGGACGCAGGUUCGAUCCCUGAGCCACAAAGGGAACUCCAACGAGAUAAUUUUAAAAGCUAAAGAGUCUGAGGAAAUUUACUCCCAGUGUUUUGUGGAAAACCAGAAGGAAACUUCUAUAACUAUACUUAUAUAUUUAUAUUUACACAGGAAAGUGCUUUAAAAAACUGUAUAUGUGAUAUAUGUGGUUAUAAUAAUGCUUUUUUUUUUGGCUUCACCUGUGGCGUGCGGAAGUUCCUGGGUCAGGGAUCGAACCUGCACCACAGCAGCAACCUGAGCCACCACAGCCACCAACACUGGAUUCCCCAACCCACUGUGCCGCAAGAGAAUUCCAUGGUGCAUUUUUAAAACUAAUGAUUACGCAAAAAAAAAAAAAAAAAAAAAGUUCUGUUUGAUAUUUGUUCAAUUGUGUAAGUAUUAUAUUCUUUUUAUUACUACUUAGUAUACCUACACUAAUGCUUUGUGUCUACCACUAAAGGUAGUAGGAAAUAUUUUUAUUAACUAUGAUAGAUCAAAAUUACCUCUGCAAGUUUAAGAAAGUGACCUAGGAAUAACAUUCACAGAAAAACUUUAUGUGCUAGCAUUUGAAUAUAUGAACUGGUAGUUUCAUGGAUGGUUAUUUUUAUUAUAAAAAUAUUUUUUAAUUUGCAAAGGGGUUUAUAAUAGAGAUUGGUUAUUUAUUUAUUUAUUUAGACUUUUGUCUUUUUAGGGCUGCAACCGCAGCAUAUGGAGGUUCCCAGGCUAGGGGUCUAAUCGGAGCUGUAGCCCCCGGCCUACACCACAGCCACGGCCACAGCCACAGCAAUGCAGGAUCCCCACCGCGUCUGCAACCUACACCACAGCUCAUGCCAACGCCGGAUCCUUAACCCACUGAGGGA